GACAAACGCUGGCGGCGUGCCUAAUACAUGCAAGUUGAGCGAUGAAGAUUGGUGCUUGCACCAAUUUGAAGAGCAGCGAACGGGUGAGUAACGCGUGGGGAAUCUGCCUUUGAGCGGGGGACAACAUUUGGAAACGAAUGCUAAUACCGCAUAACAACUUUAAACAUAAGUUUUAAGUUUGAAAGAUGCAAUUGCAUCACUCAAAGAUGAUCCCGCGUUGUAUUAGCUAGUUGGUGAGGUAAAGGCUCACCAAGGCGAUGAUACAUAGCCGACCUGAGAGGGUGAUCGGCCACAUUGGGACUGAGACACGGCCCAAACUCCUACGGGAGGCAGCAGUAGGGAAUCUUCGGCAAUGGACGAAAGUCUGACCGAGCAACGCCGCGUGAGUGAAGAAGGUGUUCGGAUCGUAAAACUCUGUUGGUAGAGAAGAACGUUGGUGAGAGUGGAAAGCUCAUCAAGUGACGGUAACUACCCAGAAAGGGACGGCUAACUACGUG
RNAcentral lists this ribosomal RNA (497 nucleotides) under uncultured bacterium. RNAcentral describes it as "partial 16S ribosomal RNA". It matches the Rfam family "Bacterial small subunit ribosomal RNA", at positions 28 to 507 of the family's 1533-position model. The record is from RNAcentral.